ACCGCUUCCGCCAUCAACUACUAGAAACCACUUGUUGUACUCAUAGGCCAGAAUGGUCUUGUACUACAUAUUUUGUAUUUUGCUUGGAAUUUCUGUAUCAAGUUGGUGCCUCAUCAGCUAACAGUAAUCCUGGGGCUGGUGAGCACAAGGGCCAUUUUCUGGAAAUUAAUAUCCCGAAAAUCCGGUCCUGACAAUAGACGAGGCCCUGGCAGUAGCUCAGCAGAAGGUGGUGCUUGGCCUCCAGGCACCCCAUGCCCUCGCCCGUCGGCAGCUGGUUCUUCCUCACCUAUACCAAUACACAAGCAGUCAAGCACACAAGAAAACGAAUAGAAUACUUAGUUUUGUGGAUACUGCUACCCGUUGCUGAAAUGCUGCCUUAUUCUUACACAAGUGAACUUAUCAUAGAUCAUGAAGCAGGCGGAGCUGGAAUUUUGCUUUUUCGAUGGAACUAAUAGAACAAGCUAACAAUAUUAUAAACGUUUCUUCACGGCCACUGAUUACUUGCUCGUUGCACGGAGAUUUUAAUCAGUGUGACAACUAGUCACUAGAUACAAAACAAUUCAUAUAAACAGGGCAUACCAAGCAGCAUACCAAGUAGCAUACCAAGCAAAAAAACAAAUUUCAAACAAAAUUUGCUGCAAUCCUGAUGGUAGAAACAAGCUAGCUAGAUUAAACACCAACAGUUAACACAGCCUAGCUGUAAUAACUAACAAGGCCACUAUAAAUUAUUAACAUGCAUGAUCUGCAGUACUAGGAGACCGAGUCAAUGCACAUUACAGUAACUACAAAUGGGGUCUACUACAAGAGCACAAUUUAACAAGUGUUCUACUCCAAAUCAUCAUCACUUGUAAAUAGGAAUGAUCUUUUACAUGACACAAGCACGAAAAGUACAAACAAAAUCACCCAUGCACAUGAAACAAAGCAAGGUACUACUAUAGCAGCACAAGAGAGGGGGCUAGAAGAUAGGAGACGAACUUAGAUGAGAGGAGAUUGUAGUCGAUGCCGCACACGGCCACGGUCUUCGUCCCGCGGUAGAGGAGGUUGUAGCUGAGUUGGACCAUGUGCCGAGCGUCGUCGUGGCGGUGGAUGCCCUGGUUGUCGUCAUUGUCCACAGAGGAUUCCUACUGCUCCGAAUCAAACAAAGAAGUAAGAGUUAGUGUUGUUGAUCUAGUACAGAAAUUAAGCAAGCGAGUAUAGGAGACACACACACGUGCUACUGCUAGUAUCUACAGACAUCAAUCAAGUUGGCUGUGUGUGUGCGCUUGAGCUAGCUUAGUACGUACAGUCCAUGGUUGGGCUCCAAAACAAACAGAGCAUGCUAGUGUUAACAAAAUCAAGCCAGUAGAAUAGAAACAAACCAUACCAUGAUGAAGUUUAAAAUAGAAUAAACAAUGCAUAUACAUUUUCUAAUGGAAAACCACAAAAACAGUUGAUGAAAAUCUACAUCCGAAGUUCUAACAAUGCCAUGUCUACAACAAAACAAGACUAGGACGAUUGCUGUAAUUCUAAUGCAGCAAUAAAACAAACCUAACUACAUUGUUCAACAGCUUCGAAUAACAAAAAAUCUACCAUUUAUGAUUAAUUCAACAAAAAAACUAAAUAACAUAGGCCUUUUGGGACAAACAAAACUAAACAGCGAGCACAACAUGAUAUGGAUAUCUCAAAACAAAUUCUCCUCGGAAAAUACUUCGGAACACAUAUGGACAACAUACGAAACUGAUUUACAAUCUACAAUAAGAUAUACCAGUCUCAUCAAAUCAGGCUGCUAAAUCUCCCAACGCCACAUCAGUAACAGCCUCUAGAUCAUGAAUCAACGCAACACUACAUGAGUCGAGAGUUAAUCUAUCCGAGGAUAGGCAUGGAACCCAAUAGCAGUACACGCUACAACCGAUCAACCACAUGAAUCCCUAGGCAAAACACGCUACAACUCAUCAACCACAUGAAUCCCUACACAUCCCCUACUGUGAACUUUGUGACAUAUAGAGGCCACUGCCAGGGGACAUGAAAAGCAUAUAGUGUGAACUUUGUGCAUCUUAAUUUAGUAGCAGCAUAUAGUGUGGACUGUGUAGUCCAUAUCAUCUGCCACGUCUUCAG
RNAcentral lists this long non-coding RNA (2094 nucleotides) under Triticum aestivum (bread wheat). Its description in RNAcentral is "long non-coding RNA (TAES_LNC015866)". The record is from RNAcentral. Lineage: Eukaryota; Viridiplantae; Streptophyta; Magnoliopsida; Poales; Poaceae.